GGGUCAGUAGGUUGGUCGUGCCACCGGUACGUACUGGUCUCACUGAUUCCUCCUUCCUGAAGAACCGUAAUGCCACUAAUUUGGUGUUGCGGGAAAACAGGACUGUUACUUUGAAAAAAUUAGAGUGUUUAAAGCAAGCUAACGCUUGAAUACAUUAGCAUGGAAUAAUGAAAUAGGACGAUCGAUCCUAUUUUGUUGGUUUCUAGGAUUGACGUA
RNAcentral lists this ribosomal RNA (216 nucleotides) under Glomeromycotina sp. RNAcentral's name for it is "partial small subunit ribosomal RNA". The stretch from base 40 to 216 matches the Rfam family "Eukaryotic small subunit ribosomal RNA", at positions 686 to 864 of the family's 1831-position model. The record is from RNAcentral. Lineage: Eukaryota; Fungi; Glomeromycota.